Molecule: long non-coding RNA, 2200 nt
Filed under: Gallus gallus (chicken)
Lineage: Eukaryota; Metazoa; Chordata; Aves; Galliformes; Phasianidae
Source: RNAcentral
UGAGUUCAUUGCAUAAAUCAGCAUACAACCAGCUUACUGGUUGCUUAAAGUGCAGCCAUGAGGUUAAAAGGGAAUGGUUGAAAAGUGGCCUUAAAGUGUGGGAUUUCUACUUGCCACACGGUAAGAAACUCUUCCUGAUGACAGAAGGGUAUGAAGAUUUGUAAUAGCUUGAAUUUUAAGUGUCUUAUGUCUACGCUGGAUAGAAGAAGAAUUAAGAGACUUAUUGAUUCGAGGAAGAUUUAGACCAGUCACUGAGGAGGAACUAGCAGGAAGAGAUUUUCAAGGCAGGUCCUUGGGCUGUGUGUGGCAAUUGGGCACGUACCUGUUGGAAAUGCUUCAGGCAGAGAGCAACCUGUCUGUAGAGCCCCGGUACAGCAGGGUGCUGGCCUGAAACCAAUGUUCUGUGGGACUGGAGCCAGAAACAGGAUCAGGGUUGCAGGAAGAACCCUGAAAAGAAAGGCUCUUCUUUCAGAAAGUGGAGCUCCAUGAGCUGUCGGCAUCCCAGGGGCAGAGCAGAGGCAGAUUUUGGCUGUGAAGUUGACCCAGCCAAUGCCACGCAGGACAAGGUGGCAUUGAGAAGGUCCACAGCAGCAGCAUGUGUGCUGGAGGGGAACCACAAGCCGUGAAGGAUAGGGCAAAAGUGCCCGCUUCAUAAAUACACAUAAACAAACAAAACAGCUCACCAGCAGACAAAAUUCAGUGCUUCAGUGACCAUGGUUUCUCCUCUGCGAAGGCCCUCCUGUUGCCUUAGAAAAUUAUCAUCCCGUUUACUUAAUUAGGCUGACUCCAAGCUUUAGGCAUCGGCCUGCCAAGAUGAUGCACACAGCGUAUGACACCUGUCAGUUGACUUCAAUGACUGCUCACCACUUCUUCGUGUUCUGCACCUCCCACAAGUCAGCUCCACAGAUGUGUCAGGAACGCUUCCUGAUGACUGCAUUGUAACAAAUGUGCAGAGGUAUGAAGUUGCAGUCCAUCACUUCCACACUGUUGCUGUGGCCCUGUGAACUCCUCUGAAUGAAAAACUCUUCAGUAUCACUCAGAAAUAUGAGGUUUAGGUUCAUCAGCUCCUUGUUGGCUUGCGACUAAAGGCCACAAUCAGUGUGGAGAAUGUGGGGCCCUUCUGCUCCAGACAUAUUUUCCAUAGUAGUUCCAUAUUUUCCUCCAAUUUACAAAGCAUUUCCAAAGGUGGAGAGCAAGAAGUGCACUGCCUACCUCCUGCAUCACCCACAACAGACCUUCCCACAGCACCAAAGGGAGAGCAGGGAGGUUGUUGGCUUUAAAUGAAUUGCACUGCCAACCCAUAAGGUGCAUUUGGGUUCACCGUGUUUUCCCUGUAUUUAAGUUUUACUCAUCUGAAAUUAAGCUAAUUAUACGUUUUCUUUAAUUUUCUCCUGUAACUCCUCUUUAUUUGAACAGCACUCAUAAGAUGUUUGAUUAUGGUCCAAAGUUACAUCGACUUUCACCCCAACUCUGCUGUCCAUUCAGAAAAGAGGCAGAAGGAGAUGGGCUGGGUUAGUCUAGGGAGAGUUGGAUGGAGAAGAUAGUAAGAGGCUCCAUCAGUGCUCCCCAACUAAGUGACACUGAAGUGCCACAUGGAGGAAGUACUUUUUGGGGCGCUAUCAACAGCCUAAAACUGUACUGGUACAUCCUUUUCUCUGGGUUAACUCUGGUCUCUUCUGUGCCACAGUGUGAAAGGUCUGAAGUAUCUCAGCCACUGUGUUAUGCUGACAGCACCCUUACCAGAGGAAUGCUGUUCUGCUCUCCUGUGAAGGAAGAAGGGAAUAGGAGCUCUCAUAAGAGCAUUUCUUGUGCUUCAAGUUCUUUGUAAGAGAAAACAUAGCUAAUUUUAGUUUAAAUGGAUGUUAAUUUGACGUGUGGAUUUGAAUAACUGAGAUAAAUUCUUGGCUUUUUGGCAUUAUAAUAUAUUAAAUGACAAAUGCUUUUUGAAUACUGAAAGGUUCUUUCUCUCUCCUCUGUAAGGCGUAAGUCUCCUGGAUUUGCAGGAAGUUGUACAGAAUGGUCCAAUAGGUCAUCUUCAUCUCUGGCUUAUGUGGUAAUAAAGGAAUAAUAAAAACGAAGGUUGCAAAGCAUUCUUUCCAUGACUGAAUCAGCUGGCUUUUUUAUGGGCCAGUUAUUCACUGAGCAAUAAAUAUUCAUGGGCUUUUCAGCAAAGACAUGGUGCAUAAUUAGUCUUGAGCGC